UACAGGGGGUGCAAACGUUGCUCGGAAUUAUUGGGCGUAAAGCGCACGUAGGCGGUUCGUUAUGUCAGAUGUGAAAGCCCUUGGCUCAACUGAGGAAGUGCAUCUGAAACUGGCGAGCUAGAGUAUGUAAGAGGGUCGCGGAAUUCCUGGUGUAGCGGUGAAAUGCGCAGAUAUCAGGAGGAACACCGGUGGCGAAGGCGGGUCUCUGGGCAACAACUGACGCUGAGGAGCGAAAGCGUGGGGAGCGAACAGG
This 253-nucleotide ribosomal RNA is filed under the name uncultured bacterium. Its description in RNAcentral is "partial 16S ribosomal RNA". It matches the Rfam family "Bacterial small subunit ribosomal RNA", at positions 524 to 776 of the family's 1533-position model. The record is from RNAcentral.